CAGACACUGAUUGAUGAGUGUAGGCUAAGGUGUCGUAAUGGCUAGCACAGCUUUGUUUUGUAUUGUUACACCUGGUAACACUGCUGUUUAGAUGCAGUGGGAGCUGGGACUUAAAGGCACAACUCACUGCGUUCCCCGGCGCCCUGGACGAUGCCUGCACCCUUCUGUCUGGCUCUGCUGCUUGCUGCUCUUGCUCUAGGGGGAGAUUUCGGUGCCAAAGGACACAUUACCGUGGACAAUUUUGAAAGUAUUGCUACAGUCCCUGAGAACAGUCCUCCAAGAACCAGGAUUUCUGAGUUCCAGAUAAUUGUGGACAACUCUACCCUUGUUCAAAUCACUGUCACUUCCAUACCAAAAAGCGAAUUCUUUCAGAUACUUUGGAGGAAGACUCACGAGAACAGAACUGGAAACCACUUCCAAGCAGAGAUAUUUCUGAGCAAUCAUGCCUCGUUGGAUCAUGAGAGGACUCCGAUGUAUGUGCUCACCAUUUCGAUCUUUGCUGAUAAGAUGGAACCGCUGAUGGAAAAGCUCAGGCUGAACGUAGUCGGUGUCCAUGAUGUGCGGUGUGGUGAACAUUUCCAGGCACCAGGAGGAGACACAGUCAAUGUGCUGGAAACUGCCACACCUCUCUCGCAAAUCUACACCGUUGUCUUGGCACCCACCUACUCAGAGAAUUUCUCAUAUGCCAUCACCAAAUCCAUUCCCAUAUCUGCGAAGGACUUCUUCAGUGUAGACUGGUCAGGCAGCAUCUAUGUCCCACCCAGUGGCUUUGGACGACAGCAUGUGGAGAGGCAUUUCAGACUCCACAUUGUGGUGACGGAGAACAGCGACACCAUCUGCACAGGAAUGGUGACGAUUGUCGUGAUUCCAGUCCAUCACUGGCCUCCUGUCUUCACGCGGGUCCCGCGUACUGUCAGCAUCCCGGAGAACCAAGGGCCGGAGUUCUACGUGACCAAGGUCAGUGCUGCAGGAGAGGGAGUGCACUUUCACCUGGCCACCUCCCACCCCUCCUUCCAGCUGGGUGAAGCCAGUUAUUCAGAUGAUGCAGCAGCUCCUCCCAGAGGCAGGAGGGAGAACUACACACUGAAAAGAGCAAAGGCUGAAUCAGAAACAGACACCGGGAUCAUCAGAACUACGAGCAACCUGGACCUGGAUCAGAACCCUGGGCUUGCUGUCAGUCUGCUGGUGAUCACUGCCUAUGAUGACAGCUACCUCUGCAGCUCAUUGGCUAACGUCACGGUGUACGUGACUGAUGUGAAUGACAACAGUCCUGUCUGCACUCCACCCAUCUUUGUGACAGAGAUCCCAGAGACAACUCCCGUGGGCUCAACCCUUUUUCAGCUGUCGUGCAGUGACGCUGAUUACACCAACACCAACCUGUUGUACAGCAUCGUCCCCAGUGACAACUCACAAUUUAAAUUUGUGUAUGAAGAUCACAGUGUGAAGCUCAACGAGAGCCUCAAUUAUGACUCCGCUCAGAUGGCAACAGUGGACUUCCGCCACACGGCUGUGAUCACUGUGGUGGACAGUGGAGUGCCUCCUCUGACCACCACAGUCUCACUGCUGGUGAUCGUCAGCCAGGUCAAUGAGUUCCCUCCCGUCUUUCAUGGUCCCAAAGAGUUCACUGUUCCCGAGAACAGCGCAGGGAACACACGAGUGGGUGUGGUGAAUGCUACCGAUGCUGACUGGAUCUACAACAACAUUCAGUUCUCCAUUGUGGGGCACAUCCCACCCAUCUUCUACAUCCACCCCUUCACCGGUGAAAUUAACACAUUGGUCCCACUUGACUUUGAAAAAGUUGACACCUACGUGCUUACAAUCCAGGCUGUGGACAUGAAUUAUGAUGUGGCAUUUGAUAGUUCUCAGCAGAGGACAAGCUAUGCCCAGUACACCAUCUACGUCAAGAACGUAAAUGACAUCCCUCCUGUCUGCAGCCCUCCUUUCUACAAGGAGACUAUCUACUCCACACUUGCAGAAAAUGUUCCCAUCGUUACGCUGUCCUGCACUGACAGGGACUCAGAACAACUCAUCUACAGGAUAGUUGGUGGGAAUACAAACAGUCGCUUUUCUUCUCGCGGGAGCUCCCUGUUCUCCAGGAACGACUUCUCAUACAAUAUGGAUGGGGUCAUCGAUCCGACAACAUUUGAACUACUAAUUCAGGUCACUGAUGUCAACGAUGCUGAUUCAAAGCUUCAGCUCACCACCACGGCGAUUGUCACCGUCCACGUUAUUCCAUGGACCAGCACGCUGCCAGUGACAAGAACACCUGUCCACAAGGUGGUGACUCUGCUGGACAAGUACUGGAAGCCCCAGCCCUGGUUUGUGGUGCUCCUGACGGUGGUGGCAGUCCUGACUGCAGGGACCCUCGCAUUGAUGCUCUAUCGGUCAAGGGCUUUGUGCUUUAAUCGGAUUUUCCCACAGAGUGAAGUAUCCCAGCACUUGCUACUGGACAGGUAGGACUACAUGCAUGGGGUACCUCUCUCUAUAACCCCAGGCUGUGUUGGGGCAGAUGCUCCAGUCCUCCACUUCUGCCUCCAACCUGUCUUCCCUCCCUGUCUAUCAGUGUGGUUUGUAUUCGUGACCCUGUUGCUGUGUCACUGUUCACCCUCUCUACGGAAUUUUGUCCCUUUGUAAUUUUGUGUGGCUGACAACUACGAAACUCGAGCUAUUCAUUCUGUUUGGAUCCUGGCAUCACCAGGAAGACAUGUAUUUAAUGCCCACCGCUAAGUGCCGUUGAGAAUAUGUUAAUGGCCUGCUUUCUUGAGCCGCUGCUGUCUGUCGUUGAAGGUGUUCCCACAGAUCUGCUGGGGAGGGAGUUCCAGGGUGCUGGACGAUGGAAUACUGAGCUGUCGGAGGAAACCUUCUGGGCCACCGUGGUGUGCUGAACUGAAGAAGCAGAUGAUGCCAAAUUAAACGAGCCCCUCUUGUCGGUACAUGGUUCAUCUCUCUCCUUUCACAUGCCUAUCUGAGGGGCUCUUAGAACACAGAACAUAGAACAUUAUAGCACAGUACAGGCCCCUUGCCCCACUAUGCUGUGCCGACUUCUUAACCUACUCUAAGAUCUAACCCUUCCCUCCCACAGAGCCCUCCAUUUUUCUAUCAUCCAUGUGCCUAUCUAAGAGCUUCUUAAAUGCCUGUAAUAAGUCUGCCUCUUCCACCACCCAUGGCAGUUCAUUCCUCUUACCUCUGACAUCCCUACUCCACUUUCCUCCAAUCACCUUAAAUUUAUGCCCUCUCACCUUACUUAUUUCCGCCCUGUAUCAGUUCAGCACCUGAACCCUGGACUCUUGGAUUAAAAGUUUGAUGAGCUACCCAGUCUCCACAACUCUAAAGCUGAUGAUAUCAUUUGAAGUGCAGCCGUUUCUGCCAAUGGGUGGCCUGCCCUGUGUUUCUGCUACCUGGGUGCACCAGGGAUUGGCCAGAGUGAAAGAAGGGAAGGCUAUGGUCAGAGGCCUAGUGUUCGACACCUCAGUGAGAACUAGAGCAGAGGUCAAAGUCGAAGUAAAUGUAUUAUCAAAGAACAACUACGUCACCAUAUACAACUUUGAGAUUCAUUUUCUUGCAGACAUUUACAGGAAAAUAAAGAAGUACAAUAGAAUUUAUAUAAAAAACUGCAGAUAAACAAAGACAGACAAAUAACCAAUGUGCAAGAGAGACAAAUUGUGAAAAUACAUAAACAAAUACACUGAGAACAUGAAUUGUAGAGUCCCUGAAAGUGGGUCCAUAGGUUGUGAAAUCAGUUGAUUGUUGAGGUGAGUGAAGUUAUCCACACUGGUCCUGAUGGUUGAAGGAUAAUAACUGUUCUUGAAUCUGAUGCUCUGGGACCUGAGGCUCCAGUACCUCCUGCCUGAUGGGUGUAGCAAGAAGUCUGUUAAAGAUGGCGCAAGAUGCUGUGAUGCUUUAUAGGCAGCAGGCAAAACUACUAACAAUUUUAUUAAUUACACUUUUCCUGGGUGAUGAUUACUGCACUCCACAGCCUGGAAUUUCCCUUUGGGAGCUGUGCUUUUCAACUGUCUGUAUGACCUGGAGUGUUCUGCAGUUUCCUGAAGAAUUCAGCAAACUGGGCUCUCAAGAAUGCAGGUUCUUUUGAAGACCCUGACCUGAGUUACACUCUGACUUCAGUUCAUUGUGGGAAUGGGACCCGCUCUCAGGGCCUCACCGCCGGCUGCUUUUUGAUAAGCCAAGGACACAGUCUGGAAGACUAACGCACCUGCAGGGUGAGACAUCAUGGGAGACCAUGGAACAUUGGGAGCAGAGGGUUAGCAGCCGUGGGCUGUGUAUAGCGAGACCUGGGCUCACUCACCUCAGCUCUGAACUGACUCUGCAGCCAUCAGGCUCCCGGACUGGCUCCGUGUCAGGGACUCCGCAGUUCAUGUUCUGCGUGGUUUUGUUCGCUUUUUAUUGUUUGCAUAAUUUCUUUUUUUUCACCUGGAUGGUGGUGGUGCUUGAGGAUUCUCCCUUGUGAGUGUGCUCGAUGAUGGGAGGACUUUGUCUGUGAUGGACUGGGCUGCAUCCACCACUUUUUGAAGACUUCCCUGUCCUUGGAUGUUGUUUCCAUCGCAGGCCAUGAUACCACCAGUCAGGUUGUGUACCUAUAGUGAUUUGUCAAAGUUUCAGAUAACAUGCUGAAUCUAUGCAAAUUGUAAGGAUGUUGCCGUGCCCUUUUUUCUUGGACUUACGGUGAAUCAGGCAGGACAGUUGUGAAUUGGGAAGUGUGAUUGUUUAUUAAGGUACAAAUGAGGUGCUUACGGAUGUGGUGAACUAUGUGCCUGUCUGGACAUGCCCCCUGCUGACUGCUCCUGUGGCUCCUCCCACAGGCCCCUGUAUAAAGGCGAUCGAGGCCUGAUCCUCGGCCUCAUUCUCCAGGAUGUAAUAUGAUGGUCACUUACUGCUGGUUCCUUCUUCAGUCAAUAAAAGCCGAUAUCUCCC
Molecule: RNA transcript, 4929 nt
Organism: Hypanus sabinus (Atlantic stingray)
Lineage: Eukaryota; Metazoa; Chordata; Chondrichthyes; Myliobatiformes; Dasyatidae
Gene name: cadherin-related family member 4-like
Exons: 19
Source: RefSeq, a predicted model, not a curated record